Molecule: long non-coding RNA, 41632 nt
Filed under: Gossypium raimondii (Peruvian cotton)
Lineage: Eukaryota; Viridiplantae; Streptophyta; Magnoliopsida; Malvales; Malvaceae
Description: long non-coding RNA (GRAI_LNC009689)
Source: RNAcentral
ACUCAACUUGGUCCAUAAAAUGAGGAUGUGGAUAUUGUUCUUCACUAUUAACAAAAGUAAGAGUAACAAAUCGUAUGACUUUGUAGUCAUCAGUUUUAGAAUCAAACCCAAAAGAAGCGUGGUCAAAAGAAACGUCAUCUAAAGUAAGGUAGGUUUCUUCGAAUGGUGAAAAAUAUGGAGGGCGUUGGAUUGAAGAUGGUGGAAGGAUUUUAAACUCUCUGGUUGAUGGGUUCCAAAUGGCAGCCUUAUCCUUUGAAGGAUCAAGUAAACACAACAAUCCAUGACAAGCACCAUAAACAGCCUUGUCCAACCCCAUCGUCGCCUUCCCUCUCACUUCUCACUGUCCCAACCCCCACCACUGCUCACUUCCCUCUCACUCCUCACCGUUUAUCUCAUUGGCAUCUCUUCUAACAUUUGUGGUGAGAUCAACAGUGAAGAGUGAGAGGGAAGGCAGCGACGACAGGGGUUGGAUACAAUGGCAACAGUAGCUAGAGGGGAAAAUAGAAAGAGGAGAAGAAAUAAAUUGAAAUAAAAUGAAAAAAAAAUAUGUUAAACAAUUUUGUUUAUAGAAGACUUCAUCUAUGAACUCGUGCUUAUGUGGCACGCCACAUAGGCUACUUUGUUGACCUGUGGUUUGACCGACGAUCAACUCACAUUUUUCGUUAAAAUUGGGUUGAUUUAUUAAAAAAUCAUACCAUUAAGGGUGUCAAUCAAAAAAAAAAAAGGUUAAUGGCUCAAACCCAAAAACUCAAAAAAAUUGAAGGUUUUUUUCAAAAAUUAUGCCAAAUUCUUUGUUAAAUUUUUUGGUUUGAUAUUCUUUGUUAAAUUUGUUAGUUUGAUAUUCUUUCAAAAGUACAUUAUAAUGCUUUUUUUUUUUUUUUUGUUAACCCAAGCCCAAACUUUUGAAAGCAAAUACUAUUUUGAGAGGGAAAAGAUUUGAUUUUUUUUUUGUUCAAUUGCUUGAAUCUGGUUGGAUAGUUUCUAUUUUCAUUUUAUUAACCAUUUAAAGAAAGAUAUUGAAUGUUAUGGGAUUAGGUUUAGGUUAUUUUAAAUCUAUAUUCGAAUUAGUGUUAUUUUAAAAUCGAAUCAUUUUGAGUUUAAAUCAUUCAAAUUUGUUAAUCGAAUUUUAAAGAUAAAAGAACAUAUUAAAAAUAUGUAAUAUUAAUUGGAUUAUUUUAAACCAUGACCUAAAUACUUGAGUCUCAAAGUAAGCCCUAGCUCAAUAAAACACAUAUGAUAGUUUAGAGUACCGUAAUAAAAUACAUAUUGAUAAUCAAGAUAUUACAUUAACAUUUGUAAACAUAUAUGAGACAAUUGUGGCAAAGCUAGCUAUGGAAAUUCUAUGGUAUCGGAUCCACUAUUGCACCGGCCGUAAAAUAAGUUGGAACAAUUUUGAGGCCUUCCAAAGAUAUAGGAUGGCCUUGGUCUUCCAUAACAAAUAAAAAACUCCCCGAGUAGUAGAACAUUAGUUCUUUUGUGUUUACUGCAUGAAAUUUGUGGAGAUGCUCCUAUAAAUCGGAAAACUGUAUCCGCAACUUACCGGACCGUAUAGGUGGAUCCAAGUGUGAGUCCCAUAGCUAAAUCCCAAAAUUCAUUAAAACAAAUAAGAGACAAUAAAGUAUAUUAAACACAAAUAGGAAUGUGAAGGGAAAAUAAAAAUAAAUUAUUUGAUAUACCUGAAUUUAAAUUUGUCCUAAGCUGUAUGGCCGAUUGGAAGUAUGACAGAGGAUGUUGUGCAAAGUCGGAACAUGUGCCAUGUUUAAUCCAUUCCUUGAACCAAAACUCAAAGUCUGACCCUGUCAAUACCAAGUCCGGCCAUAGUGUGGGCAGUUGGUUCCAAAGAGCUAUAUCACCACUCAACAAUUGCUUUUAAAUAAGAAACAAAAAAAUUGAUUAGAUUACAGAUAAAUUACUUAAUAGUUUCAAGCAAAGAAUGUACGUAUGCGUACUUGGAGUGGUGGCCGGGUUAGAAUAGGUUGUGGAUAGGUGCAAGGCUUCCUUGCAUUGUACGGGGGCACCGGCAUGUCAUGAGCGUCUUGCGCCCAAAUUCCAUGUAUUUUGAAUUCAGUUGGGAUUGGGAGUUUACAGUUGAGAGUAGAGCUGCAAACUGAGGGAGGCCAUUGAAAUGCCAGCUUAUAGAAGUCUACCACUGGAAUUACUGGCGGCUGGGGUACUGCAAAUGCUACCCAUAAUGCAAAAUGAUACAAUGCAUUUUUACAAAUUUACAAAUCAAAAGAGAACUACUCCAUAUAUAGAUAUUACAUGUAUAGAUGGUCGGGCUGAGAUUGGAUGAUUGUGCAUUGCAAGCAGCUGGUUUAUGAUCUCCUUUAUAAGCUUGGCACACAAAUUUCACGAAAUUUUCAAAGUCCUGCAACCAUGAAAUAAAAUAUUGAAGUUACUUGUCACAAAAUGUUACUUUACAGUCACACCAAGAGGGAGAAAUAAACAAACUCACUUGUCCGAGUGGCUGAUUAUUCACCACCACCCAUGGCACAUAUUCUUGAGGUGGCUUCAGAUGUGCAGUCUCGUUAGCAUAUUGCAGCAGAAGCUGCAUUUUAUUAAUUUGGAAAUUCAAUGUUAAUUAAAUACUAUGACAUGCAGCCAACCUUAUAUCCAAAUCCAGUAGUAUAGCAUUAAUUUGUUGAUUAUCUCCUCAUUCAAUCUCAGCUUUUCACUGCAAUUUUUCCACAGUGCUUCAACUGGCCCCGUUUUAAUCUUUGUUGCUCUGUGCUGCGAAUGAAUUCCUCAGUAGAGUAAUUAAACACGAGUUGGGGACAAGUACAAAUACUUUUGGCUAACAGAGUUUACCACAUAUGACGCAUAUUGUUAUCAUCCCUAAAAAACAACUAUACACCACCUUAAAAAAUGAUUUGCCUGAAGAUUGCAAAGAUAAUAAAAUUGUUUAUUUAUUUAUAUAUGUACGAAGGUCGCAGUUUACAGGCCCUCAGAUGAAAAGGAUUUAAAUUAAUCCCAAAGUUUUAAUGUACAAAAGAAAACAUGUGCAAAAGUAUCAAAGUUAAUGCCUAAGAAGUUGAUUUCAUGCAUGGUAAAUUAUUAAGAUAUAAAAUUGGACAUUAUUUAUAUAUAUAAAAGCCUUCCAUUGAAUGCCUAAAAAGCUCUUUGGUUUUUCAUGAAGUUAGAAACUGACUUGAGAAAUUCAUGGUUCCCUUCACUAAGUACCAACCACAACAGCAUCAAAACAAUUUAGAAGAAAUGGAUUUACGUACCAUAAUGUUAAUGUAGAAUUGUUUAGCUGUUACUUUCAUGCAUGAAAGCUGAUCCAAUUUUGCUAAUAUAUUUUUUGUUAAAUUGCGCGUUAUUAUUAACCCAUUGAAAGAAGCAAAAUAUUUUUAUUGAUCAGUACUCAAAUUAAAUUUAAUUUCCUUUCGCAACAUUCUGUCGAAAUAUAAUUUGUUGUCAUCAUCAUAUUGUAAAAUGAACCAGACACUAAAUUCAAUGCAUUUAAGGAAUAUAAAGAUGCAAGACAAGAAACUAGAUAUAAUCACAAGAUUUUGGCAGUUUUCAUUAAAAUUGUAGUCUUUUGUCAAUGUUUUCCACCAUAAUUGUGCGUUAUCAAUAAAAAUAAAAAUAAAAAGCACAAAAUCAAGGCAGGGCACAUUACUUGACUAACAUGCUACCAUUGUAGUCAAUAGAAACAAUAAUGAAGAUACAGAGCACACACAUCAAGGCUAACACAAACAGGUACAUUGUUGAAAAAUUUCCACUUAUCAAUGUUAAAGCUUUGAAUUUUACUGAUAACAUAAUAUUGUGUGCUUUUUUUUAGGAUAUAUAAUGCAAAACUUUGUAAUCCCUGUUAUGCAUUUUGAGGUUAUAUACAUUUCCCCACUUUUGAAGUUUAUUCAUACAUAAUGGUAUUUUCAAACUAUGGCAGAAAUCUUAUAGUUACACUAACCAAAUAAAAACAAACAUAAACUGAACAAUUCUCCAAAUCCACAAACCAGGCAAAGGUCAACAUCUCAAACAUAUAAUUCGAACAAUAAUAGCAAUAUUAAAAAGAUCACAACAAAAAAUUCCUAUUACAUCUUACACCUUUAUGUUAUGGUUCCUAUCCUUCUUCAUAUUUAAUAUUUAUUUGAUGCAUCUCCAGCUGAUCGACGUAUUAUAUGUUCUUCAGGCUCUUGUAUUCCAUUGAUACGAACCAAGCUCUCAACAUAAACAUGAAAAAAGAGAUGGAUAGCGGAAAAUGAUCUUGAUAAGUGAUAAUCUCAAGCUCCUUAAGUACUUGAGUGGACGGGUCAACUAGUAAUAUUUCUUUAUUUGAGCUUAUAAGAAUCAAUUUACCAUUUUCCCCAAACCCCAGUGGGUGUACAAAUGGAGGAAUAGAUUUAAUACUGAAUUGUUUAGUCCGAACUCCAUCAUUCGUAACCCAUAAAUCUAAACACGUGUAAGUUUCUUUCGAUAGGUAAAAAAUAACACUGAGUGAUACAUUAAACACCUAUAGGCUUGUAAUAGCCCAUUUUUGACCGGGCCAAAUAUAAAAAAAAAAGUUAACAAUCCCAGUCUAUUUACAACAAAUCAGACAGGCCCAAAGCCCUAACGGCCCAAUAUGGCCUAAAAACUAAACGAAAUCAGAAAACCCUAGGGUUCCCUCCCCUCUCGCGCCGCAGCUUCUUCCAUGUACGCCUUUGGUGUGCAUGACGCCCGAUGACGACUCCUUCACCGAAGUUGCACCGAAAUGGCAAUGGUUUCUACCCGUUGACUCCUCAUGACCUGUAAAAUAGACGAAAACAGUAGCCAAUAGACAGAAACAGAGACAGUAAAAGAAAAAGCAGUAUAAUCGGCUAUAAAGCCCGAACGAAAAUGUAAUCUUGUUACAGGCGGAUAGUUGAAUGAAAAAAGAGAACAAAAUAUCAAUCAAAAGAUCCCGAAGGUUUACUUCUACCAUUAGUUUAAUUUUUAUUUUAUUCUACUUUUUUUUUAGUUUUUACAUACGAAAAUAAAGCAAAAGGAAAAAAAGGGAAUAAUAAAACUAACCUGUAUUCGGGUUUUUAACGCUGUGGACGGCCGAGGGAGUCACCUCCAAGGAUAGGUGGCUGGAAACUGAAAAGUUUCUCGAGCUUUUGGGGUGUUUUUGUUAACAUUUUUGGAUUUUUGAACCCAAAUUCGGAUUUAGGAGAGUCUAAAGGAUAGGGCUAGGGUUUUUACCCCUUUUCAACAACCGCGGACGUCGUUCUGCCGAAGACCCGCGCAUGCAACCCGACUCGCCAGAGGAUCCGCGCGUUUUUAACUUUUGGGCUAUUUGCGUUUCAGGCCGUUUUGCAUUUUUUGUAUGUUUCAAUUUGGUCCUUUGCAUUUUUUCUUUAUAUUUUCAUUUGGACAGCAGAUUUGUCUCGGUUUUUAGUUUGGUCCUCGAUUCGUUGGACCCUUGGGGAGGAGAUGCAUGGCCUAAAAGCGGGUUUAUUAGUCAUUUGGCCCUCGCCCUUUCGUGCCCUCUUCAUUCUGGUCCCUCUUUGUUUAUUUUAUUAUAGCUUUGAUCCUUAAAUUUCAUUUUUAUCCUGAUUUAGUCCAUUUUUGUUAUUUUUUAUUUUCUUAUUAAUUAAUAUAGUAUUAUCAUACUUAUAUUUUUUAUAUUUAUUUAUGAAUUAUUAUUAUAUCAUUAUAUUAUACUAUUAGCAUUGUAUCAUUAUUAUUUAAAUAAGUUUAUCUUAUUAUUGAUUAUUAUUAUUUGCUUAUACAUAUCCUUUUAUUUCAAACUUUAUCAUAUAUAUACACAUACAUAUAUAUCUUUUAUAUUUUAUAGUUUUUUAAAAUAAGUAUACACAUACAUACAUUUCUUAUAGUAUAUAUAUAUACAUACAUAUUUUAUAAUUUAUAUAUUUAUACAUUNNNNNNNNNNNNNNNNNNNNNNNNNNNNNNNNNNNNNNNNNNNNNNNNNNNNNNNNNNNNNNNNNNNNNNNNNNNNNNNNNNAUGUAUAUAUACAUACAUAUGUUUUUUCAUAUAUUUUAAAAUAUACAUACACACAUUUUUAUAAUAUACAUACGCACAUAUAUUUUAUGUUUUAUAUAUUUAUACAUACAUAUGCAUUUUAUAUUCUAUAACUUUAAAAUAUAUAUACAUACAUAUAUUCUCUUUUAUAUAUACUUUAUAAUCUUAAAAUAUACGUAUACUUAUAUACAUUUUAUAAUACAUAUAUGUACGUAUAUUUUAUAAUUUAUAUAUACAUAUAUAUUUGUUACAUUAUAUAAUUUUAAAAUAUGUAUAUAUAUACACACAUUUUUUUUAUUUUUUUAUAGUUUUAUUUAUUUUAUUUAUUGUAUUUUUUGUUUUACUCGAUGUUUAUUUGUUUAUUUGCAUAUAUGUUCAUUAUUAUUUUAAAAGAAUGUCCUAAUUAUUCAUUUAUUUACUUGUUAUGGUAUAAUUGAUUUGCAUUUUCUAUUAUUUGCAUCAUCGUAUUCAUUAUUGUGUUGUUAUACACAUUAAUACUGUGUUUUAUUUCUACAAUUUCGAGUUAGAUUAAUUUAUCUCGAUGCAUAGAUUUUGACUUUCGAAUAAGCAAAAUUUCGUGUUUAGAUUCGAGAAGGUCGUACCCUAACUUAUGGGGUUUCGAUUUUCGCAAUAAAUCUAAAUACACGAAUCAUUUCAAACUAAAGUUUUCUUUUUUUUAUGAUCUUGAGAAUUAACAAAAGGUCGUGUCCUAACUUACAGGACACGAUCCUUUUUUAAACUCGAGAUAGUUGAAUAUAUUUUCAAAUAGGUAAAUUUUCCUGCGUUUAUUCUCGUAUCGGGAAUUUAAGAUAUUGUGUCAUAACUUACGGGAUAUAAUUUUCUUCCUCGAUUAACGUGAAAUAUGCCUUAUUCUCAAAAUUUUUAGCAUUUCAAUAAAGGAUCGUAUUUUAAAUCUCUUUAAAGUUUUCAAUUUUCGAGACUAAGACAUUAAUCAAUCAACUAGGUACCAAUUUUGGGCGUUACGAGGGUGCUAAUCCUUCCUCAUACGUAACCAACUCCCGAACUCGUUUUUCUGAAUUUCAUGGACUAAAAUCUUUGUUUUAAUAAAAUCAAAUUGUUUAUUAAAAACCACUUUUCAAGGUGGCCCGAUCACACAUUAUCAAAAAGGAUUGGUGGUGACUCCCAUAUUCGUUUUCAUUUUUAAAAUCCAAGUCGAUCGCGUUUUCAAAAAAAAUGUUCGAUAUCAUUCCUCAGGUCAAAUGAAAGAAUUAUUUCUCUAAAACCAUAAUAUUCCCCCAUUAUUGUUUGCCAAUAGCAAAUUCCAUCUAUGUAAUUAUUUCCCAAAAUUAUAUUAGUUGGUUUAUAAUUAAGAAAUGGAAUUUCCUUCCAGGAAUCACUUCUAAGUGAAUACAACUCAACUUGGAGAACAUUUGGGAACUCAAAAUCACAAUAUAUUUCUCCUACCUCACAAAUAUCAAAAGUAAGAGUAACAAAUUGUACGACUUUGUAGUCAUCAGUUUACAAUCAAACCCAAAAGCAAUGUGGUGAAAAGAAACGUCAUUUAAAAUGCGAUAACCUUUGAUGCAGGGAAGAUAUGAAGCGCGUUGGACUGAAGAUGGUGGAAGGAUUUUAAACUCUCUGGUUGAUGGGUUCCAAAUGGAAACCUUAUCCGUUGAAGAAUCAUGUAAACACAAUAAUCCAUGAGAAGCACCACAAACAGAGACUUCUUUCUUAAAAAGGGGCAGGUAAACGUCUUGUUUUACUAAAAAAUUAUUUUAUUCGGUUGAAAGUUGGAAGAUGUCACUAUCAUACCGCUUGAGAAGUAGAUUAAGGUUGGUGUUUUUAAGGUUGUUGUGGUGAUGUUUGGAAAUGAAAUGAGGAGUUUGAAAAAGAAGAACACCAAUACUUACAAACACAGUUGAAGUAAGGGAUUUAACUGGAAGCUUUGACAGAAUUUCCAUCUCAAAAGCUUUGGCAAUUCAAAUUGUAAAACCCAAAUUCUGCCCGGGCCCAUUAAAACCAAAUUAUAAUAAACCAAAUAUAAAAGCCCAUCUACACAACCCAAAAAAUCAAACCCAUUACAUCAAACCCAAUCCCCGGCCCAAAUAUCCAUUAACCCAAAUAGCCCAAUUACAUUAAAGCCCAAAAAAAUAGUUUUCAGAAACCCCUAGGGUUUCUGGAACAAUCCAAGCGCCGCUCCUGCCCUCCGCAGACACCAGCCUCUCGCCUCGGCCGCACGUACGCCUCCACCUCCAGGCUGGUUGUGUACUUGCAAAAAUUCAAACAACCAACAAAAGAAAGCACUAGAAAGCCGUGAUUAAAUACUAAAAUUACAUAUUUUAUGUAAUUAAUUUGGUAUAUUUAUGAGAAUGCACCACUAAUUUUGCCAUAUUUAUUGAAUUUUGUGCAGGAAUGUAAUUUGGGGCUAAAUAGAAGAAAAAGGAAACAAUUGGGCUGAAUUGAAGAAAGAAGCGAAAAAGGAGGGCCAAAGAUUAAUUAGCUGAAAUUUUUGAGUUAGUGGGAGAAUAUUUUGGGAUUUAUUUUAUUUUGGGAUAUUUUUUUCCUUAAUUUCCUAUGACUAGUUGGCUCCUAAUUUAGUAAAUCAACUAGUAUAAAUAGAGCUUGUAUUGCUCAUCAUUUCAUCAAUCAAAAAAUAAUUUAGCUUUUGUCUUUCAAUUCUCUCAUUUCUCACGUAGCCUUUGUUAUUUCUUAGCUUGUUUUCCUUCAAUUUUCAUUAGUUCCAGUAGCCUACCAUCCAUUUCACCUUUAUUUUCAACUUUUCACAAAUUUAUUUAUUGUCUUUAGUUUCUUUAACUUUUAAUUCCUAAAAACUUCCAGCUUUUACUACUUUCCAUUUACAAUACCUUUUUCAAAUUCCCUUUUUCAACCACCCCCACACUUAAUCACAUCACCCAUCUUUUCACCUCUUCUACCUUAUUUAAUUUAUCAAAUACCAACAUGUCCCAAACCUUAGCCAACUAAACCCAUUUUCAGCUUUAGGCCGAAAUUAGCCUCGUCAAAACCCGUGAGUUACGAACCCGAGCCAUUUAACUCCUAAAAUUCCAGUACUUAUUACUUCUCCGGAUUAAGAGUAUGAUUUUGUCAGCUCAUAAAUUCAGAUCAACACUAAGUCAAAAAAGACGUCGUUUGAUUUGGUGUGAUUAGACGUACAGUUGGAAUUUCGAAAAGAACGUUUCUAAUCGGUUUUCUGUGAACACAUUAGCGUGCCAAGUGGAGGCUGCUAUUUGGUUCCGUCAAGGGAAGUAGUAACCGGAUUUAAAUGUCCCACGCGGUUGAGGGCAUUGGUUCGAGCUAGGCUCUUCUAGAACGCAAAGCUGCCGGAGUUCUAAAUCACGAACGUUUCGUGGUUGUUCGAUCGGUAAGAAUUAUUUAUUAGACGUUCCAUAACUAAUUUACACAAGGAAGAGUUGGUGUCCGAGGCGUCCUUGGUAGCUAUAACUAGCUUAUUGGAAAAUAGCAGUUCAUCCAAUUUCGAGGAUCGGUUCAAAGACGAGGAAAAUUCGCGCCUAAAGCUGAGCUCAUUCUAAUUAAUUUUUCUUAAUAUUUAUUUCACAGUUAUUAUUAUUCUGUUUUCAACUUUUACUUUUGACAUUAUUUUUCUGUUAAUUUCAGGUUUUCAAAUUUUUAUCCCCCCAAACGUCUUGGGCACGACAGCUGCCCCGACAUAAAUCUGGUCAAACGAGCAACAAUUUACAGUAAACCAGUCUCUGAGGGAUCGACCCUACUCUCUAUACUGCAUAAUUUGCAACUUAAGGCGUAGGUUUAUAUUGGUGGAUUCGACACCCAUCAGUUUUGGCGCCGUUGCCGGGGACUAGCAACACUUACAAAUUGCUUAAAUUAUCUUCAUGACCAGAUCUUCAUCCGGAGAUCUCAGAGAUCGAAAAAUCAGCACGAGCACGACGUAAAGAGACGGAAGUUCUUAAGCGUGUAGCAGUAAUUGAACGUGGAAAACAAGUCGAAGUGGUUGAUCCUGAGACCGAACCACCUCCUACAACAAAAGAAGUAGAAGACAACCUCGGUGAACCAGAAAGGAUGGCACACCGAACCAUUCGUCAACUAGCUGCUGCUUCCAACGACCAAACACCGUUAUGCAUCAACUAUCCAAUCGGAAAAACCCCAUUCGAGUUGAAGUCAGGCCUGAUCCACCUUUUGCCCACUUUUCGAGGCUUGAAGAACGAAAAUCCACAUACCCACUUGAGAGAAUUCCACAUGGUCUGCUCAAGCAUGAAACCACAGGGAGUAACCAAAGAUGAAAUUAAACUUCGGGCAUUUCCUUUUUCUUUAGUUGAUACAGCAAAAGAAUGGUUAUUUUACUUACCUCCAGGUUCUAUUACAACGUGGGAUGACUUAUCUCGUGUUUUUCUUGACAGGUUUUUCCCAGCAUCGCGAGCAGCUGAACUUAGGAGAGACAUAGUGGGAAUUCGACAAAUGGAGAGCGAAUCGCUCUACGACUAUUGGGAGCGAUACAAAAAACUGUGUGCAAGUUGUCCUCAACACGGUUUGACCGAACAAUCACUUCUUCAAUAUUUCUACGAGGGUUUGCUCCCUAUGGAAAUGAAAAUGAUUGACGCUACUAGUGGAGGGGCGCUUGUCAAUAUGACUCCUCAAAGGGCAAGAGAACUGAUAUCCACUANNNNNNNNNNNNNNNNNNNNNNNNNNNNNNNNNNNNNNNNNNNNNNNNNNNNNNNNNNNNNNNNNNNNNNNNNNNNNNNNNNNNNNNNNNNNNNNNNNNNNNNNNNNNNNNNNNNNNNNNNNNNNNNNNNNNNNNNNNNNNNNNNNNNNNNNNNNNNNNNNNNNNNNNNNNNNNNNNNNNNNNNNNNNNNNNNNNNNNNNNNNNNNNNNNNNNNNNNNNNNNNNNNNNNNNNNNNNNNNNNNNNNNNNNNNNNNNNNNNNNNNNNNNNNNNNNNNNNNNNNNNNNNNNNNNNNNNGUGGAAGGAUCAUCCCAACUUUAAUUACGGAGCUAACCCCCGAUAUAAUCCGUCAUACCAACCGAGACCUUUGCAACCACCGCAACUGCCACCCAAGCCGAGCACAUCUCUAGAAGCUAUUGUGGAAAGACUUGCCGUCGAUGUUGCGAAGUACCAACAGAGGACAGACGCAUCAAUUCAGGAGUUAACUAAUCAAGUUAGUAAACUCUCGAUGGCGGUUAAUCGUUUGGAAUCUCAAGGUAAAUUACCUUCCCAGACAGAGCCGAAUCCUCGGCAGAAUGCAAGUGCAAUAACUCUUCGUAGCGGAAAAGUUCUGGAAACAGUUCCAGACAAAAGUCAUGGGCAAGAAAACAAAUGGGAAAAACAGAUCUCUGAUCCAAAAGCCAGACCGGAGUCAGAAAUUCAAAAACCAGUUGUGGUGCCACCUCCUUUUCCAGGGAGACUCGCGAAGGAUAAGAAAGAAAAGGAGGAAAAAGAAAUCCUUGAAACGUUUAGGAAAGUGGAGGUGAAUAUCCCUUUGCUCGACGCUAUCAAGCAAAUCCCUCGUUAUGCAAAAUUUCUCAAGGAAUUGUGCACUAGCAAGAGGAAGUUAAUAGGUAACGAAAGAGUAAAUGUAGGAGAAAAUGUCUCCGCGGUACUACAAAAGAAAGUUCUGCCUAAAUACAAGGACCAAGGUAUGUUUUCUAUUUCCUGUGAGAUAGGUAAUGUAGGCAUUAAGAAAGCCAUGUGCGAUUUAGGGGCUUCCAUUAAUGUUAUGCCUUAUCCUAUUUAUAAGUUGAUUGACGCGGGUCCUUUGAAAAAGACAGGAGUAAUAAUCCAGUUGGCGAGCAGGUCAGUCAUCUAUCCCGAAGGGUUGCUUGAAGACGUCCUUGUUAAAGUUAACGANNNNNNNNNNNNNNNNNNNNNNNNNNNNNNNNNNNNNNNNNNNNNNNNNNNNNNNNNNNNNNNNNNNNNNNNNNNNNNNNNNNNNNNNNNNNNNNNNNNNGGAAGGCCAUUUUUAAGUACCGCAAGUGCAAAAAUUGAUGUUCAGAGUGGAACAUUGACAAUGGAGUUUGAUGGCGAAAUCAUGAAAUUCAAUGUCUACGAAGCCAUGAGUCAUCCUAACUCAUUGUCAAAUAUUUCCAGUAUCGAUAGUAUAGAUUGUUUAACUCAAAAUUAUUCUGAAUAUCAUGACUUUGAUGAAUUGGAAACUGUCUUUUACAGAAGCAUUGACAUGGAUGUAUUGAGUCGUCUCGAGGAGUUAGAAGUUAUAGAAGAUCCGUUGCGAGAAAUUGUCAAACACUUGGAGACUCAACCAUCGUCGACGAGUUGAGGUAACCAUCUUGAACUAUUACCUUCCCAAGUUAAAAUGUUGCCUUCGAUUUUGCAGCCACAACCUUGGAGCUCAAAGCGUUACCAGACCACCUCAAGUAUGUUUUUUUGGGAGAGAAAGACACCCUACCGGUAAUAGUGUCAAACAGACUAACCAAAGACGAGGAGGAAAGUCUAGUUCGAGUUCUGAAGGAAUAUAAGGAAGCUAUUGGUUGGACAAUAGCUGACAUAAAAGGGCUAAGUCCAUCCACCUGUAUGCACAGAAUUUCCAUCGAAGAUAACACGAAACCAAAGAGAGAUGCUCAGAGGCACCUUAAUCCACCCAUGACGGAGGUAGUAAAGAAGGAGAUCCAGNNNNNNNNNNNNNNNNNNNNNNNNNNNNNNNNNNNNNNNNNNNNNNNNNNNNNNNNNNNNNNNNNNNNNNNNNNNNNNNNNNNNNNNNNNNNNNNNNNNNAUGUUGGAUGCUGGAAUGAUAUACCCGAUCUGUGACAGUGAUUGGGUUAGCCCAGUUCAUGUCGUGCCCAAGAAAACUGGCGUGACAGUGGUGCAAAAUUCAUUAGGAGAGCUAGUUCCUACCCGAGUCCAGAAUGGAUGGAGGGUUUGCAUCGAUUACAGGAAGUUGAACGCAGCUACCCGAAAAGACCAUUUUCCACUUCCCUUCAUCGAUCAAAUGCUCGAGCGAUUAGCUGGUAAGACUCAUUAUUGUUGUCUCGAUGGAUAUUCAGGAUUUUUCCAAAUUCCGGUGGCGCCUGAGGAUCAAGACAAAACAACUUUUACGUGCCCCUUUGCAACAUUUGCGUAUAGACGAAUGCCGUUUGGACUCUGUAAUGCUCCGGCCACCUUCCAGAGAUGUAUGGUAAGCAUAUUCUCCGAUUACAUCGAGAAAAUCAUUGAAGUCUUCAUGGAUGACUUCACGGUGUACGGUAACUCUUUUAAUGAAUGUCUCGAUAAUCUUGCUAAGAUAUUACAAAGAUGCCUAGAAUUUAAUCUUGUUUUAAAUUAUGAAAAAUGCCAUUUCAUGGUUGACAAAGGACUAGUUUUAGGUCAUAUAGUUUCCUCAGAAGGUAUUGAGGUCGAUAAAGCAAAAACAGAUAUUAUUAACUCAUUACCUUACCCCACAUCUGUGAGGGAAAUUCGUUCGUUUCUUGGACAUGCAGGAUUUUACAGACGAUUCAUAAAAGACUUCUCGAAGAUCGCGCAACCGCUCUGCAGUCUGUUACAGAAGGAUAAAGAAUUUAAAUUUGAGCAGACUUGUAAAGAUGCAUUUGAUGUACUGAAGCAGAAAUUGGUCUCCGCCCCCAUAGUGCAACCACCGAAUUGGAACUUCCCGUUUGAAAUCAUGUGUGAUGCAAGUGAUCGAAGUGUGGGAGCUGUUCUUGGCCAAAGAAUAGGGAAAGAGCCUCAUGUUAUCUACUACACUUCGAAAACUUUGGAUGCUACCCAAAGCAAUUACACAACCACUGAGAAAGAAUUAUUAGCUGUUGUGUUUGCUUUAGAUAAAUUUAGGUCUUACCUGAUGGGAACUAAAGUGAUUAUUUUUUCUGAUCAUGCAGCUUUGAAAUAUUUGAUAGGGAAGAAGGAGGCAAAACCUCGACUAAUUAGGUGGAUUCUACUUCUGCAAGAAUUUGAUUUUGAAAUCCGGGAUAAGAAGGGAUGCGAAAACUUAGUAGCCGACCAUCUGAGUCGAUUACCGAUUCCGACAGAUGACACACCAUUGAAAGACAACUUCCCAGAUGAAAACCUGUUUUCAGCAAAUGCGGUUCAUCCUUGGUACGCAGAUAUAGUAAAUUAUCUCGUCACAGGUACUAUACCUUCAGAAUUACCAAGGUCCAGAAAAGAUAAGAUUAAAAAAGAUGCUCGAUAUUACAUUUGGGACGAUCCUUACCUAUGGAAGCAUUGCUCCGAUCAGGUAAUUCGACGGUGUGUAGCAGAAACAGAGGUACAGUCUAUCUUAACUUUUUGCCAUUCUUAUGCAUGUGGAGGACACUUUGGACCUAAACGCACCGCACAUAAAAUUCUCGAGUGUGGACUAUUUUGGCCAAGUAUAUUUCGUGACGCCUUCUUAUUUUGUAAAACCUGUGAAAAAUGCCAAAAAGUCGGUAAUCUUAGCCGUCGAAAUGAGAUGCCCCUUACUCCCAUCCAUAUUUGUAAAAUUUUCGAUGUGUGGGGCAUCGAUUUUAUGGGUCCUUUUAUUUAUUCUUUUGGAAAUUUUUAUAUACUCUUAGCUGUUGAUUACGUUUCUAAGUGGAUAGAAGCAAAGGCUACUCGUAAUGAUAAUGCUAAAACUGUGGUUGACUUUCUUAAAAGUUCUAUCUUUUCCAGGUAUGGCACCCCACGAGCAUUAAUCAGUGAUAGAGGAACCCAUUUUUGCAAUAAGCUCGUAAGUGCACUUAUGGAGAAGUACGGAGUGACUCAACGAAUUUCUACCGCCUACCAUCCACAGACAAACGGACAAGCUGAAGUGUCAAAUCGAGAAAUCAAGUCCAUCUUGGAGAAGACUGUUAAACCAAACAGAAAGGAUUGGAGCUUGAGACUAAAUGACGCACUCUGGGCUUAUAGGACAGCUUACAAGGGACCAAUCGGCAUGUCACCUUAUCGACUCAUUUUUGGUAAACCGUGCCAUCUCCCGGUCGAAUUAGAGCAUAAAGCAUUUUAGGCAGUUAAGCAGUGUAAUAUGGAAAUGGAGACCGCAGGAAGAGCUCGAAAGUUGGACAUUCAGGAACUCGAGGAAAUUAGAAACGAUGCAUAUGAAAAUGCUCGAGUUUAUAAAGAAAAGACGAAGGCGUUCCACGAUAAGAGGAUCACUAGAAAGCAGUUUUCAAUAGGACAAAAAGUUCUCCUAUACGACUCCACCUUAAAAAUUUUUACGGGUAAGCUUCGAUCCAAAUUGAUAGGUCCAUUUACUAUCACUAAUCUAUUCUCAAAUGGUGCAGUGGAAAUUCAAAGCGAAGAAACCCGAAAGUGCUUUAAGGUGAAUGGUCAACGACUGAAACCCUUCUACGAGAAUUUUCAAAUACACACAGUUGAGGAGAUUGUUCUCGAAGAGCCCAAAACUUGAAUAACACAGGUCGUCGAGCUAAACGACGUUAAACAAAGCGCUGUUGGGAGACAACCCAAAUUUUCUUUUCCUUUAUGCAAAUAAAAUUUUUGGUAAAAUGGAAAAUGGAAAUGCAUGUCAAGGAUUAGUUCUGUCUAAGGAAAGACUUGGUACUUAAGUAUGUCCAUUGUGACUCACCUCUCUUUCCUGGGAACUUACUUGGUGCAUUUAUCACGACUGUUUUACCAAAUCUCGUAAUCUUGGUUUUUAAUAAUUUAUUUCUCGAGUUUAUAGCUUAGCUAAUAAAUUUGAAAAAAAACAUUUUAAUUUCCCUAUUAUUAUUAUUUAUUUUUACUAUUUUAUUUUUGCAGGAAAACAUUCCAAGACAAAAUUAAAUUCCACAUGUCAACCCACAAAAUUCUUUUUUCAGUUAAGGCCCACUCUACCUACGAGACCGCCCUCCAUGACGUUGAAAUACAUGGGGAGUUUCUUUUUCUCUCUUUCUCCUACUUAUCUUUACUUUUAUUUUUUAAAUUACAUUGGGACAAUGUAAAAUAAGUAGGGGGGAGGGAAACAUAAAUUGGUUCUAAUUUGCUUAUCUGUCGUCGCUAUUUUUGCAUGUUUUCGGUAAAAGGUAAAUUUUUCUUUUAAUUGGGAUGGUACACUUAUGGUUUGACCGAUUUAGCUAUUUAAUUCUUUACACAUGAAACUUUUCAAUAACCUAGACUUAGUAGGUAAGAAAUUUUUGGAAUUAUGAGUUUGCUUGAUUGCCUACCUUUUAUCAUAUGUUUUUAUUAUUUUUUCAAAAAAAAAAGAUUAAAUACUCCUCUGAUACAAAUGUUAAGAGUGAAAAUUUGGGUUGUAUAUCGAAUUAAGUAACCGGAAUGUGGUGCUUGGGUUGUCAUCACAUCUCGUGUAAAAAGGUUCAUGUGACUGUCCAAUUUAUUUGCACUCACUCCGCUGACAAGUUAUUAUGAGUAGGGCGAAAUAACCCGCUUAGAGACGUCCGAAUUGAGUAACCGGAACAUGGUGCUUGGGUUGUCAUCAUGUCUCGCGUCAAAAAAUUCGAUAAUGUCCUAAGUACAAAAAUAAAUAAAUAAAAUAAAAUGAAAGGUAAAUCUAUCAAGCUCUCAUAAAUUCUGAUAUAUAUUUACUUACUGCUUAGGCUAGGUUAUUUGAGUUGUUAAUGUGCUAGGAUUGAAUUGUUGAAUUGUGCAAACGAUGAGUAUCAAGUCCUAUUUUGGAGAAUUUUUUUCCUUUUGCAGAUACAUACAAAAUGCUCGAGGACUAGCAUAAGCUAAGUAGGGGGAAUUGAUUAAAUACUAAAAUUACAUAUUUUAUGUAAUUAAUUUGGUAUAUUUAUGAGAAUGCACCACUAAUUUUUCCAUAUUUAUUGAAUUUUGUGCAGGAAUGUAAUUUGGGGCUAAAUAGAAGAAAAAGGAAACAAUUGGGCUGAAUUGAAGAAAGAAGCGAAAAAGGAGGGCCAAAGAAGAAUUUUUCCAAGAUUAAUUAGCUGAAAUUUUUGAGUUAGUGGGAGAAUAUUUUGGGAUUUAUUUUAUUUUGGGAUAUUUUUUCCUUAAUUUCCUAUGACUAGUUGGCUCCUAAUUUAGUAAAUCAACUAGUAUAAAUAGAGCUUGUAUCGUUCAUCAUUUCAUCAAUUAAAAAAUAAUUUAGCUUUUGUCUUUCAAUUCUCUCCUUUCUCACGUAGCCUUUGUUAUUUCUUAGCUUGUUUUCCUUCAAUUUUCAUUAGUUCCAGUAGCCUACCAUCCAUUUCACCUUUAUUUUCAACUUUUCACAAAUUUAUUUAUUGUCUUUAGUUUCUUUAACUUUUAAUUCCUAAAAACUUCCAGCUUUUACUACUUUCCAUUUACAACACCUUUUUCAAAUUCCCUUUUUCAACCACCCCCACACUUAAUCACAUCACCCAUCUUUUCACCUCUUUUACCUUAUUUAAUUUAUCAAAUACCAACAUGUCCCAAACCUUAGCCAACUAAACCCAUUUUCAGCUUUAGGCCGAAAUUAGCCUCGUCAAAACCCGUGAGUUACGAACCCGAGCCAUUUAACUCCUAAAAUUCCAGUACUUAUUACUUCUCCGGAUUAAGAGUAUGAUUUUGUCAGCUCAUAANNNNNNNNNNNNNNNNNNNNNNNNNNNNNNNNNNNNNNNNNNNNNNNNNNNNNNNNNNNNNNNNNNNNNNNNNNNNNNNNNNNNNNNNNNNNNNNNNNNNCACUAAGUCAAAAAAGACGUCGUUUGAUUUGGUGUGAUUAGACGUACAGUUGGAAUUCUGAAAAGAACGUUUCUAAUCGGUUUUCUGUGAACACAUUAGCGUGCCAAGUGGAGGCUGCUGUUUGGUUCCGUCAAGGGAAGUAGUAACCGGAUUUAAAUGUCCCACGCGGUUGAGGGCAUUGGUUCGAGCUAGGCUCUUCUAGAACGCAAAGCUGCCGGAGUUCUAAAUCACGAACGUUUCGUGGUUGUUCGAUCGGUAAGAAUUAGUUAUUGGACGUUCCAUAACUAAUUUACACAAGGAAGAGUUGGUGUCCGAGGCGUCCUUGGUAGCUAUAACUAGCUUAUUGGAAAAGAGGAGUUCAUCCAAUUUCGAGGAUCGGUUCAAAGACGAGGAAAAUUCGCGCCUAAAGCUGAGGUCAUUCUAAUUAAUUUUUCUUAAUAUUUAUUUCACAGUUAUUAUUAUUCUGUUUUCAACUUUUACUUUUGACAUUAUUUUUCUGUUAAUUUCAGGUUUUCAAAUUUUUAUCCCCCCAAACGUCUUGGGCACGACAGCUGCCCCGACAUAAAUCUGGUCAAACGAGCAACAAUUUACAGUAAACCAGUCUCUGAGGGAUCGACCCUACUCUCUAUACUGCAUAAUUUGCAACUUAAGGCGUAGGUUUAUAUUGGUGGAUUCGACACCCAUCAAGCCGUAACAGAAUAUAACAAAUAAUAGAGAAAAUAUAAAAUAAAAAACAAAUAUUUUUUGUAUUUUGAUUCGACUAUAUAAAGCCGAAUUUUGCAUCUGUAAGAGGAUUUUUUUUUUGGAAUCAAUCAAAAAAGGAAAAAGUAUUCAAUACCAACAAUCAGAGAAUUUAAAAUACAAAAUAGAGAUCUAAGGUAGUCUUCUGCUAUUUUUUUCUUUCUUCGUUUUGAUUUGUUUUUUUAAAAUAACAUAGAAAAUAAAAAAAGGAAAGGAGACUUACCUAAUUGCCUUACGACGCAUCGUUGGAGGUGCCUCCCCCGCUGCCUUCAAAUCUGCUUCAAAAAGGAAUAAAAAGCCAAUUAUGGUGUGGCUCCGACCACCGUUCACGGUGGAAUCGCGGAGGAGGCACGGUGGACUGGCGACGGCUAAUGCUGGGUUUGAAACCCUAGCAGAGAAAAUGGAUGUUUUUUUUAAACAAAAUAGCAGAAUGUUUUUUUUAAAUUGUUGUUUUUAUAAAGGGUUUGAAACGGCGUCGUUUAGGCCUGUUAAGGUGGCCUCAAAACGGCGUCGUAUAAGCCAUGACCCACUCAGUGACCCGACCUGAAGAAAGGAUCCGCGUGUUUUGUCUCAAUGGUUUACUUGCGUUAAUUGGUCCCCCACUUUUGUAACGUGUUUAAAUUGAUCCUUUUAUGUUUCUUAAAUUUUGCCACAUAUUUCAUUGUUUGUUUCAAUUUGGUCCAUGCUGAAACGCAGCGUUUUGCGGCUGGGGAUAUUUUCCUCUGUAGUCCCCAUGUUCUUCGUGCGUGCCUUUUUGGUCCUCAAUUCUGCUUUAUUUUCAUUUUUUUUCUUUUUAUUUCAAAUUUAAUACAAUUUUAUCCAUACUUAUUUAAUUUAAUGUACUUGAUUUUUAUUCUAUUUAAAAUUCAUUUUUCUUUUAUUUUUAGAUAUAUUUAUUUUUAAAUCUAACUUUCUUUUUAUGUUUAAGUUUAAUAUAUUUUUAAUUUUAUUAUCAAUACGAUUUCAAUAUUAUAAUAUAUUAUUAUUUUAAACCUAUCAUUAAUAUUAUGUAAAUUCUGUUGGGAUUGGGGUUUUACAUCUCAGAGUAGAGCUGCAAACUGAUGGAGGCCAUUGAAGUGCCAGCUUGUAGAAGUCCGGAAUUGCUGGUUGCUGGGGUACUACAAAUGCUACCCAUAAUGAAAAAUUGAUACAAUGCAUUUUUACAAAUUUACAAAUAAAAAGAGAACUACUCCAUAUAUAAAUAUUACAUGCAUGGAUCGUUGGGCUGAGAUUGGAUGAUUGUACUUUGUGAGUAGCUGGUUUAUGAUCUCUUUUAUAAGCUUAGCACACAUAUUUCACAAAAUUUUUAAAGUCCUACAACCAUGAAAUAAAUAUUGAAGUUACUUAUCUCGAAGAGUUACUUCACAAUCACACCAAGAGAGAAAUAAACAAACUCACUUGUCUGAGUGGCUGAUUAUUCACCACCACCCAUGGCACAUAUUUGUUGGUGUUAAUAACAAAGAACAAACAAGUUGGCUGAGACUUGAGCAGCAAGGCUCGAUUCUUGCUGAAGAAAUAACAAAAUUUUCAAGACAGAAAAUUGAAAAGAAAAGUAAAGAACAAUGGAGAGUAUUUGAAACAAAAAACUGAUUGAAUUCAUUCAAUUUGAAAAAUGGCAUAAUGCCAAUACAUAAAUUAAGCACUGAGCUUGUCAAAAACAGAAAGUGGUCACCUAAUCAACACCUACUACCACUUAGACAUUGAAACUUGAAAAACAAAACUUGUAAACAUAGAUAAAGUUGAGUUUACAGCUCAUUCACCAUCUAAUUACAUCAAUCAUAAACCUAACUUAGUUUAAAAUGAACUAGAAUACAUUUCCUUAAACAAAAGUUACAAAAUGAACAAAAGAUCACCAGUUGCACUUGCUCCAAUAGCUUCUGCAUGGCUCGACCUGCAUGUCUUGUUUUUUUACUGCUCUUGGUGCUACAUGCUGACCAUAUUUCAACACUCCUCCUUGGUUAGCAUGUUGCAAACUCCAAUCUCUUUCUCAAAUGCUCGAACUUUGUCACACUAAGGGGCUUGGUUAAAAUGUCAGCAAGUUGAUCCUCUGAAUUGCAAUGAACCAGUUUCAUUUCUUGUGCUUGCUCCAUUUCUCUAACAACAUGAAGUUUAAUGUUGAAAUGUUUUGUUCUUCCAUGGAACACUGGGUUCUUUGCAAUUGCAACAGCGUACUGGUCUUCACAAAAGAUCUUUAUUGCUUCCCUUUGAUACACAUUUAAAUCAGCCAUUAUUUUCCUUAGCCAAUUGGCUUGGUUUACAACAUUUGAUGCUGCAACAUAUUCUACUUCAGCAGUAGAUUGUACAACUACUGUUUGUUUCUUCAAGCUCCAACAAAACAUAGCUGAACCAAGAUUGAAAGUAUACCCUGAGGUCUUUUCAUGUCAUCCAUCGAACAAGCCUAGUUACUAUCAGUAUAGCCAACCAACUUGAGGAAUUUAGCAUUUCUAUAUAUCAUUCCAUGGCUCAGUGUACCCUUGACAUACCUGAGCACUCUCUUUGCAGCUUGAAAGUGUCUCAUAUUGCUACAAUGCAAGAACCUUGAAAGCAAACUUACAGCAAACAUAAUGUCUGCCCUAGUGGCUGUUAGGUACAACAAGUAACCAACUAAGCUUCUGUAGAUUAUUUCAUAAACCUUCUCAAAAUCAUCAUGGCUCGAUAGUUUUUCUCCAACAGCAACUGGAGUAUUGGUUGCUUUGCUAUUUUGCAUUGAGAACUUGGUCAGAAUCUUAGAGGCAAAGGCUCUCUGACUUAGGAAUAUCCCAUUGUGUGUUUGUGUUACUUCCAUACCAAGAAAAUAGGUUAUCAUUCCUAGAUUAGACAUCUCAAAUAUUUGUUGCAUUUUGGUUUUGAAAUUAAUCAGUGUUGUUUGGUCUCCUCCUGUCACUAACAGGUCAUCAACAUACAGAGAUACAAUGAGUUGAGCCUAUGCCCCUUCUUUCUUAACAUAAAAAGUUAGCUCACUCUUGCUUCUUUUAAAUUUCAAGUUGACCAGGUAGCUAUCGAUCCUGCUAUACCAGGCCCUUUGAGCCUGUUUCAAGCCAUACAAGGCUUUCUUCAGUUUAUAAACCAAGUGUUCUUUACCAGCUAUUUCAAAGCCCUGAGGUUGUUCAACAUAGAUAUCCUCUUCAAGAAAUCCAUUGAGAAGGGCAGACUUCACAUCGAGCUGGUGGAUUUUCCAUUGCAUUUGUGCUGCUAAGGCAAUCAGCAACCUAAUGGUGUUGAGCCUGGCCACUACUGCAAAGGUCUCCAAGUAAUUCAAACCAUACUUCUGGCUAAACCCCUUAACAACCAGCCUUGGUUUCAGCUUAUUCAAGCUCCCAUCAGCAUUGUGCUUGGCUCGAUAGACCUAUUUUACCCCAAUAACCUUCCUAUUUGCUGGUCUUUGAAUCAGCUCCUAAGUCUGAUUCUUCUUAAUCAUGCUGAUUUUAUCAGCCAUUGCUUGUUUCUAGCCUAGGUGUACUUUAGCCUUUUCAAAGUAGCUUGGUUAUACUAUAACUACAUGAGCUCUUUCAUAAAUCUCAACCAAUGGUCUAGUGCCCCUGAUUGGUUCAUCAUCAAUGUCUAUUUCAGGACCAUUUUGAUCUGGCUCAGUUUGAUUUGCCAUUAGAUCUUUAGGAACUAUUUUUGGUUCAUUCUUCUCCCAGUUCCAACAUGUUUUCUCAUCGAACACCACAUCUCUUCUUACAGACACUUUGUUUGUUGAAGGAUCCAAGAUCCUAUAGCCCUUUUUGACUGUACUGUAGCCCACCAGAAUACCAGGUUGAGCUUUCUUGCCUAAUUUGUCCCUCUUCACUGCUGGGACAUGAGCAUAGCAUAUGCUACCAAAGACCCUUAGAUGAGCGAGUGAAGGUUUGAACCCGAACCAGGCUUCAAAUGGAGUCUUGUCAGCCAAGGCCUUGGUUGGAAGUCUGUUUUGGAUGUACACACAGUGUUGACUACCUCAGCCCAUAAGGUUUUGGGCAAAUUCUUCUCAAACAAUAGGCAUCUGGCCAUAUCCAUCAAGCUCCUAUUCUUCCUCUCAUUUACACCAUUCUGUUGAGGAGUAUAGGUGUUGGUGGGCUGGUGUUUGAUACCUACUUCAUCACUAAAAGCUUGGAACUGAGCUGAGGUGUAUUUAGUCCCAUUAUCGGACCUUAUGGUUUUUAGCUUGCAGCCAGUUUUAGUCUCUGUAGCAAUCUUGAAUUUGGAAAACACUGAGGCCACUUCUGAUUUCUGUUUCAAGAAGUAAAUCCAGCAAAACUUGAGAAAUCAUCAAUAAAUAGAAUAAAGUACCUGCUUCCAUUCAGUGACUCAGUCUUCAUGGGGCCACACAUAUCAUUGUGCACGAGCUGUAGCCUUUCUGAGGUUCUCCAGGCCUGAUUCGAGGGAAAUAGGAGUUUGGCCUAUUUUCCUAGCUGGCAUACUUCACAAACUUCCUAUUUUUCAACUGAACCAAUGAAAUUUUUAGCCAAAUCUUCUCUGGUCAGUUGCUCCAUCGAUCUAUAGUUGGCAUGACCAAGCCUUUGAUGCCAGAGCUUGGAUUCAUCUGAUGUGGCUAUAUAAGCAGUGUUUGAGCCAUUUGUCCAAUUAACAACAAAACUCUUAUCAUUCACAGUGAAUAUCAUGAACUUGGAUCCACUUGGAUCACUAAUUUGACACUCAUUGCGUUUGAACACUACAGAAUACCCUUUUUCUAAUAGCUGAGCAGGUUUCUAUUGAUUUCAGGCACCAACAACACAUUUAAAAUGAGCUCGUUGCCUGUAGGAGUGCAUAUCAAAACAUCUCCUCUACCUUUUGCCUUUAUAAAAUGGCCAUUGCCAACCUUUACCUUGGUUUUGUAGCUUUUGUCUAAUAAUUUGAAGAUGGCAGCAUCUGGUGUCAUAUGGUUGGUGCAACCAAUGUCUAAGAGCCAGCCAUUUGUAAGCUUCUCCUGAGCAGCUGAGCAUGACACAACAAAAACUUGCUCUUGUAAUAGCCUAGGCUCACAAAAAAAAACCCAAAAUAAUAAAACCAAGUCUAAGUCCAGUCCAAAAUUAUAUCAUUUGGCCCAAUCGAAAUGGCCUGUUACUUGAAAAUGUUGAAGGUCCAUCUACAAGCUUGAUGCAUAUGGAAACAUAAUCCUCGAGGAUAUGCAAUCUUAGAUAUGAUAUGCAAUCUUAUAAGAUAUGAUUUUGUAAUCUUAGAUAUUUAAUUUGUAGAUACCCUUUAAUCUUAGCCGUUGAUGUAAUUGACCUGUAGCGUUGGAUUUGGGGAGGAUCAACUAUAAAUAGGGGCCUCUCCUUCAUUGUAAAAACACUUAAGUUUGGAGCAAUAAUAAUUCUUAAGAACAUUCACUCAAAUUUCUCCCUCUCUUGCGUUCUUAUUUUCUAUGGCUUGUUCUUAAUUUGUUCUUCGUUCAUCUUCGUUUCUUUUUAAGUUGCUUUCAUUUGAGUUGGAUUUUGGUGGAGGAAUUUCGUUGAAUCUUCAUAUUGUGAGAGUUAGGCUGACUUAAACGUUUUUUUAACCUUUUUUAUUUAUCUAUUUAAUUGUUUAAUCAUUAAUUAUUCUUUUACUUUUAUUCGUUUAUUUUAUAUCUAUCAACUUUCUUAUUUACAUAUUGUUCAUUCAUUUAACCAUUCUUAUCUUUUUUUUUCUUCCAUUAAUUAUAUACUUUAUUUUUUUAAUAUUAUGUCACACAUGUUGUUUAUUUUUUAAAAACUCGUGUUAUAAAUUAUUCAUUUUAAAUUGUUUGAUUAUUUGCUUAAAUUUUUUUUCUCAUAUAUUAUCNNNNNNNNNNNNNNNNNNNNNNNNNNNNNNNNNNNNNNNNNNNNNNNNNNNNNNNNNNNNNNNNNNNNNNNNNNNNNNNNNNNNNNNNNNNNNNNNNNNNUUUAUUUUUAAACUCAUUUAUAUAUUAUUACUUUAUAUAUUACCUAUUUUCAUUUUUUAUAUAUUAUUUAUUCCAAACUUAUACAUAUAUUACCUACUUUUUUAUAUAUAUAAUUUAUUUAUUGAUUUGUAUAUUGUUGAUUUCAAAUUUCUUUUUCCCUUAUUAUUCAUUUUCAAAUUCAUUAUUUUUAAAUUUGUUUACAUUUUAUUUUGCCUUAUAUAUAUAUAUAUAUAUAUAUUAUUUUAUACUCUUUGUUUUAAAUUCAUUGGUCUAUGAUUAUUGAUGCUAGUAUUUAAAUAAUUGCCAUUAUGUGUUUUAUAAAUUAUUUUUUUGUAUUUUCAUAUUGCCUUUUUUAUCAAAGUUUUUACGCAUCGUUUUAAUAUUGCAUCAAUUUUUUCCAAUUUUAGAAAAGAAAACUUUUUGAAAUAAGGUAAUAUUUGAUACUUUGGAGCUUUGAGAAAAUCGUACCCUAACUUACUGGGUUUCAAUUUUUUUGAUCCAAAUAACCGAAUAUCCUUUUUAAACUUUAAUGCAUGAGACAAGCUUAGUUUCGAGGGUUAAAAUGUCGUAUCCUAACUUACUGGAUGUGACAUCUUAUUACUUUGGGACAAGGAGCUCUUAACAUCAAAUUCGAUUUAUUUAGUUUUUAAAGAGGAUCGUAUUUUAAAAUCUUUUCAAAUUUUCAACAUUAGGACAUUAAUUAAUCAAUUAGGUACUAAUUUUUGGGCAUUAUGAGGGUGCUAAUCCUUCCUCGUGCGUAACAGACUCCAUAGCCCAUUUUCUCAAAUUUUGUAGACCAAAAUCAUUAUUUUAAUAAAUCAAAAUGUUUUAUUAAAAUGAUUAAUCUCAAGGUGACCCGAUCACACCUCGAAAAAAGAUUGGUGGCGACUCCAUUUUCGUUUUAAAAGUUGACCCCGUUUUUCAAAAUAAAAAUGGUUUCGACACUCAUGGUCACUGCCUUCUUUUGCCAUUUGAGCUUCAGCCUUUGGUGUUGUGGUUGGUACUGCCUUGGUUUGCCUUUGCUUCUGCAAACCUUUUCAACAUGUCCCAUCUUUUUCCAGUGUUGGCACUGUACAUCUAGUCUAAACCAGUAAUUUGCUUCUGAAUGACCAAGUCUUUUGCAAUGCCUGCAGGGUUGGUCCCUUCUUCUUGUAGUAUCAAACUGUGGCUUGUCUUUCCAAGUCUUCUUGCCUUUGUAGGCAUUGUUGCUCAAGGAAAAAUUGGUUUUUCCUGGAAGGCACCUUCUUGGUGCUCCUCUAAUCUGCUGGCUCUUCUUUGCUCCUGUGCAUAGAAAGCAUUGAUCAGCUCUGUCAAUGUGAUGCUGGUUAGGUCCCUUGAGUCUUCGAGGGAUGAAAUUUUUGCCUUAUACCUCUCAGGCAAGGUUGAAAUCAUCUUCUCCACUAUCCUUGCUUCACUAAACUCCUCACCAAGGAGCCUCAUGCUGUUUACCACAGCCAUAAUUCUAUCUGAGUACUAUUUGACAGUUUCUUCUUCCUUCAUUUUCAAAUUCUCGAAGUCCCUUCUCAGGUUCAACAACUAUUGCUGCCUUGUCCUCUCUGUCCCUUGAAACUCCUCUUUUAACAUGUCCCAAGCCUGUUUUGGUGUCUCACAGGCCACGAUCCUUGUAAAGAUCACAUCUGACACUCAAUUUUGGAUGUAGGACAUGGCCUUGUACCUCUUAGUCCUUUCAUCAGCAUGCUGCCUGAUCUGAGCUAUUGUUGGAUUGGCUCUGAGUGGCUCUGGUUCAACAUCUGAGUUGACCACCUCCCACAAAUCGAAUGCCUGUAGGUAGGUCUACAUUUUGACCACCCAUAUGUGAUAGCUUUCUCUAUUGAAGAUUGGUGGUGCAGCUGGUGAGAAGCUUGAUGAGGCCAUUGUUAUAAGUAACAGGUCCCUUAAGAUUACAGCUCUAUAUACCAAUUGUUAGUGUUAACAACAAAGAAAAAACAAGUUGGUUGAGACUUGAGCAGCAAGGCUCGAUUUUUGCUGAAGAAAUAACAAAUUUUUCAAGACAGAAAAUUGAAAAAAAAAGCAAAGAACAAUGGACAAUAUUUGGAAAAAAAUUGAUUGAAUUCAUUCAAGUUGAAAAAUGGCAUAAUGCCAAUACAUAAUCAAGCACUAAGCUUGCCAAAAAUAGAAAGUGCUCACCUAAUCAACACCUACUACCACUAAUACAUUGAAACUUGAAAAAUAAAACUUGUAAACAUAGAUAAAGCUGAGUUUACAACUCAUUCACCUUAGACAAAAGUUACAAAAUGAACAAAAGAUCAUCGGCUGCACUUGCUCUAACAGCUUCUGCAUGGCUCGGCCUGCAUGUCUUGCUUCUUUAUUGCUCUUGGUGCUACAUGCUGACCAUACUUCAACAAUAUUCUUAAGGUGGCUUCAUAUGUGCAAUCUAAUUAGAAUAUUGCAGCUGAAGCCGCAAUUCAUUAAUUUGAAUCAAGUCAAUGCCAUUCGGAAGUCAUAGCGAAGAUGUUGCGAGAAUGGAUUAUUUUAAACUAUAGCAUAAAUACUUGAGUCUCAAAAUAAGCACUAGCUCAAUAAAACGCAUAUGAUAAUUUAGAAUACUGUAAUAAAACACAUAUUGAUAAUUCAGAUAUUAUAUUAAACAUUUUUAAACAUAUAUGAGACAAUUGUGGUAAAGCUGGCUAUGGAAAUUCUAUGGUAUCGGAUCCACUACUGCACAGGCCGUAAAAUAAGCUAGAACAAUUUUGGGGAGUUCCAAAGUUAUGGGAUGGACUCGGUCUUCCAUAACAGAUAAACAUCUCCUCGAGUAGUAGAACUCUAGUUCUUCUGUGUUUACUGCAUGAAAUUUGUGGAGAUGCUCUUAUAAGUCGGACAACUAUGUCCGCAACUUAUCGGACCGUAUAGGUGGAUCCACGUGUGUGUCCCAUAGCUAAAUCCCAAAAUUCAAUAAAACAAAUAAGAGACAAUAAAGUAUAUUAAACACAAAUAGGAAUGUGAAGGGAAAAUAAAUACAAUUUAUUCGAUAUACCUGAAUUUAAAUUUGUCCUAAGUUGUAUGGCCAAUUGGAAGUAUGGCAGAGGAUGAUGUGCAAAGUCGAAACAUGUUCCAUAUUUCAUCCAUUCCUUGAACCAAAACCCAAUGUCUGACCCUGUCGAUGCCAAGUUCGGCCAUAGUGUGGGCAAUUGGUUCCAAAGAGCUACAUCCCUUAUCAACAAUUGCUUUUAAAUAAGAAACAAAAAAAUUGAUUAGAUUACAGAUAAAUUACUUAAUAGUUUCAAGCGAAGAAUGUACAUAUGCGUACUUGGAGUGGUGGCCGGGUUAGAAUAGGUUGUGGAUGGCUGCAAGGCUUCCUUCCAUUGUAUGGGGGCCCAGCAUGUCAUGAGCGUCCUGCGCCCAAAUUCCAUGUAUUUUGAAUUCGGUUGGGAUUGGGAGUUUACAGUUGAGAGUAGAGCUACAAACAGAGGGAGGCCACUGAAAUGCCAACUUAUAGAAGUCUACCACUGGAAUUACUGGCGGCUGGGGUACAAGAAUAUAAUAUGUGAGAAGGUGGAGAUGAUCAAAUCUUUCAGCAGGGAUGUCGUCAAGGAGGCUAGUAGGAGUUUUGGCUCUCUAAUGGUAAAAUCUUUAAAAUAGAAUUGUACGUUCUUCAAAGUUGUAUUUGUCCGCUCGGACACAUAAAAACCAAUAUAAUGUGGUGGAGUUUAUUCGAGCAGCUCGUCAUGUUAUGUUUGGAUAAUUCCAUAUAUGUAUGGGUCACCUUUUCCUUUUAUUUUUCCAUGUAAAAAACAAAAGAAAAGAAAGCACUCUCUCCUUCUUAUUAAUAACAUUUUAUACUUAUUAAAUACAUUGGGCAAUCGUGGAAAAGCUACAUAGGGAAACUUAUGAUAUCUGAUAGGCUAUUACAUUGGCCAUGAUAUAAAUGGGAACAGUUUUUAAGUGUUCCAAGGAGAUGAGAUGCUGUCGGUCUUUCAUAACAUAUAUACAUCUCCGAGAGUAAUAAUUGUCUAUUGUUUGUUCUAUUUCUAUUACACGAAAUUUGGGGAUAUGCGUGUAUAAGCUGAAAAACUGCAUUCACAGCUUGUUGGACCGUAUAGGUGGAUCCACGUGUGAGUCCCAUAGCUAAAUCCCAAAAUUCAUUAAAACAAAUAAGAGACAAUAAAGUAUAUUAAACACAAAUAGGAAUGUGAAGGGAAAAUAAAAACAAUUUAUUCGAUAUACCUGAAUUUAAAUUUGUCCUAAGUUGUAUGGCCGAUUGGAAGUAUGACAGAGGAUCUUGUGCUUUGUCGAAACAUGUGCCAUGUUUCCUCCAUUCCUUGAACCAAAAUUUAAUGAUUGACUCUCCCAAUUUCAAGUUCGGCCAUUGUGAGCGCAAGUUGUUCCAAAGUGCUGCAUCCCUUAUUAACAAUUGCAUUUAAAUAAGAAACAAAAAAAUUUAUUAGAUUAUAGAUAAAUUACUUAAUAGUUUCAGGCGAAGAAUAUACGUAUGCAUACUCUGCGAGCUAAUUGUGAUGUCAUAGGUUGUGGAUUGGUGCAGCGAUGAUUUGUACCAUAUGGGGGCACCGGCCUGUCAUGAGCAUCUUGUGCCCAAAUUCCAUGUAUUUUGAAUUCAGUUGGGAUUGGGAGUUUACAGUUGAGAGUAGAGCUACAAACAGAUGGAGGCCAUUGAAGUGCCAGCUUGUAGAAGUCCGGAAUUGCUGGUUGCUGGGGUACUGCAAAUGCUACCCAUAAUGAAAAAUUGAUACAAUGCAUUUUUACAAAUUUACAAAUAAAAAGAGAACUACUCCAUAUAAAAAUAUUACAUGCAUGGAUGGUUGGGCUGAGAUUGGAUGAUUGUGCUUUGCGAGUAGCUGGUUUAUGAUCUCCUUUAUAAGCUUGGCACACAUAUUUCGCAAAAUUUUCAAAGUCCUGCAACCAUGAAAUAAAUAUUGAAGUUACUUAUCCCAAAGUGUUACUUCACAAUCACACCAAGAGAGAAAUAAACAAACUCACUUGUCUGAGUGGCUGAUUAUUCACCACCACCCAUGGCACAUAUUCUUGAGGUGGCUUCAUAUGUGCAGUCUCAUUAGAAUAUUGCAGCUGAAGCCGCAAUUCAUUAAUUUGGAAAUUCAAUGUUAGAAAAAGCAAAGGAGAGUUAAUUAAAUACUAAGACAUGCAGCCAACCUUAUAUCCGAAUCCAGUAGUAUAGCUGAUGAAGUUGUUCAGUAUGCGGCAAACACUCAACAGCAAGCAGGCCAUGAAGACCAAGUAGUGCAGGAGCUGCUGCAAUAAGUUAUUUUUGCUUAUUUUGUAAACUUUAGUUAAAGAAAUGAGUCUUAGUUCAUUUCUAACUAAGUUAAGUCUUUGAUUGAUGUAGUUAGCUUAUGUAUGAGCUGUAAACACAGCAUUGUAUAUGUUUACAAGCUAAAAUUCCAAGUUUCCAUGUAAUUAGUGGAGGUAGGUAAUGAUUAGGUGCUUACUUGCUGAUUUUGACAAGCUUUAUGCCAUUUUUUUUCUCAUGAAUGAAUUAAGUUUUGUUCAUCAAAUACUCUCCAUUUUUCUAAGCUUUUCUUCUUCUUUCUUUUGCUCGAUUUCAUUUGUUUGCUCAACAAGCAUCAAAGCUUGUUGCACAAGACACUUGCCGAGUCUGUUAUUACUGUUAGUGCACCAACAAUUGGUAUCUAGAGCCUACUUCUUAAGGGAUCUGUUAUACAAAUCCAUGGCUUCAUCAAGCUUUUCACCAGCUGCACCUCAAGUCUUCAAUGGAGAAGGCUAUCACAUAUGGGUGGUCAAAAUGAAGACCUACCUGCAGGCUUACGAUCUGUGGGAGGUGGUCAACUCAGAUGUUGAACCAGAGCCACUUAGAGACAAUCCAACAGUGGCUCAGAUCAGGCAGCAUGCUGAUGAGAGGACCAAGAGGUACAAAGCCAUGUCUUGCAUCCAGAACUCAGUGUCUGAUGUGAUUUUCACAAGGAUUAUGGCCUGUGAAUCACCAAAACAGGCCUGGGACAAGUUGCAGGAAGAAUUUCAAGGGACAGAGAGGACAAGGCAGCAACAAUUGUUGAACUUGAGGAGAGAUUUCGAGAAUUUGAAGAUGAAGGAAGAAGAAACUGUCAAGCAAUAUUCUGACAGGAUUAUGGCUAUGGUUAACAGCAUCAGGCUCCUUGGAGAGCAGUUCAAUAAAGCUAGGAUAGUGGAGAAGGUUAUAGCAACUCUGCCUGAGAGGUAUGAGGCAAAAAUCUCAUCUCUUGAGGACUCAAGGGACCUGUCCACCAUCUCCCUAACAGAGUUGAUCAAUGCUCUAUAUGCUCAAGAGCAGAGGAGAGCAAGCAGACUGGAGGAGCACCAGGAAGGUGCCUUUCAGGCAAGAACAAAUACUGCCUACAAAGGCAAGAAGGCCUGGAGAGACAAACCAAAGAAUGAUGCUGCAAGGAGAGAAGGUCAGACUUGCAAGCACUGCAGAAGGGUUGGUCAUCCAGAAGAAAAGUGCUGGUUUAAUCCAGAUGCUGUAUGUCAGCAUUGUAAGAAGAAGGGUCAUGUUGAGAGAGUCUGCAAGAGCAAGACCAAAUCGAGGCAGAAUCAGUUUCAACAGAUGAAAGCUGAGGCUCGAAUAGCUAAGGAGGACAGUGACCAAGAGGAGCAAGUCUUUGCUGUGUCAUGCUCAGCUGCUCAGGAAAGGUUCUCAUCUGGUUGGCUCCUAGACAGUGGAUGCACCAACCACAUGACACUUGAUGCUGCAAUCUUCAAGUCUUUAGACAGAAGCUGCAGAACUAAGGUCAAAAUAGGAAAUGGUCAUUUUAUUCAAGCUGAAGGCAAGGGUGAUGUGCUGAUAUGCACCUCUACAGGUGCCAAAGUGAUUUCAAAUGUGCUCUUGGUGCCUGAAAUUGACAGAAACCUACUCAGCAUAGCUCAACUGCUGGAGAAAGGUUAUUCUGUUGUGUUUAAAGACCAUCAGUGCCAAAUUAGUGAUCCAAGUGGAUCCAAACUGAUGGCAGUCCCUAUGGCUGAUAAGAGCUUUGUAGUUGACUGGACUAAGGAGUCAGACAUUGCCUACAUUGCCACAUCAGAUGAAUCCAAGUUGUGGCAUCAAAGGCUGGGACAUGCCAACUUCAGAUCGAUGGCCCGAAUGGUCAGAGAAGACCUGGCUGAAAACUUCUUCAACUUAGUGGAUCAUGAUGAUGUAUGUGAAGUAUGUCAGCUAGGAAAGCAGGUCAGACUCCCAUUUCCCUCGAAUCAAGCCUGGAGAGCCUCUGAAAAACUCCAACUGGUGCACACUGAUGUGUGUGGCCCUAUGAAGACUGAGUCAUUAAGUGGAAACAGGUAUUUCAUACUGUUCAUUGAUGAUUUCUCGAGAUAUUGCUGGAUUUAUUUCUUAAAACAGAAAUCAGAGGUGGCCACUGUGUUUUGGAAGUUCAAAACUGCUGCUGAGACUGAAACAGGCUGCAAGAUGAAGACCAUAAGUCUGAUAAUGGGACUGAGUACACCUCAGCUCAGUUCCAAGCCUUCUGUGAUAAGGCAGGCAUCAAACACCACUUUACCAACACUUAUACACCUCAACAGAAUGGUGUAAGUGAAAGGAAGAAUAGGAGCUUGAUGGAUAUGGCCAGAUGCUUGAUGAUUCAGAAGAAUCUGCCUAAAGCACUAUGGGCAGAAGCAGUUAACACUGCAACAUACAUCCAAAAUAGACUUCCAACCAAGGCUUUGGAUCAGAAAACUCCAUUCAAGGCUUGGUUUGGCUUUAAGCCAUCACUGGCUCAUCUGAAGGUCUUUGGAUGCAUCUGUUAUACACAUGUAUCUACUGUUAAAAGGGACAAAUUGUCUGAAAGGGCUCGACCUGGUGUUCUGGUGGGCUAUAGUACUGUUAAGAAGGGCUAUAGGAUCUUGGAUCCUUCAACAAAGAAAGUGUCAGUCAGCAGAGAUGUGGUAUUUGAUGAAAAGUCAUGUUGGAACUGGGAGAGACAUGAACCUGAAGAAGUUUCUGAAGAACUUGCACCAGAUCAACCUGAGCCAGAUCAAAAUGUUCCUGAAAUGGACAUUGAUGAUGAACCAGUUAGAGGAACAAGACCAUUGACUGAGAUUUAUGAAAGGGCUCAUGUAGCUAUAGCUGAACCAAGCAAUUUUGAAGAGGCUGAAGCUCAGCAAGGGUGGAAGCAGGCAAUGGCUGAGGAGAUCAGCAUGAUUGAGAAGAACCAGACCUGGGAAUUGGUUGAAAGGCCAGUCAAAAGGAAGGUGAUUGGGGUGAAAUGGGUGUACAAAGCCAAGCAGAAUGCUGAUGGUACCUUAAACAAGUUGAAAGCAAGGCUAGUUGUCAAGGGAUUCAGUCAAAGGUAUGGGUUGGACUACCUGGAGACCUUUGCACCAGUGGCCAGGCUUGACACCAUCAGACUGCUGAUUGCCUUAGCAGCACAGCUCGAGUGGAAGAUCCAUCAGCUCGAUGUAAAAUCAGCCUUUCUGAAUGGUUUCCUAGAUGAAGACAUCUAUGUUGAACAACCACAAGGGUUUGAGAUAGCUGGCAGAGAGCAUAUGGUUUACAAAUUGAAGAAGGCCCUAUAUGGCUUAAAACAGGCUCCAAGGGCCUGGUACAGCAGAAUUGAUGGCUACUUGACUGAUCUGGGAUUCGAUCGAAGCAAGAGUGAGCCAACACUGUAUGUCAAGAAGCAAGGAACACAAACACAACUCAUUGUGUCCCUGUAUGUUGAUGACCUUCUAGUGACAGGAGGAGAUCGAGCAGUGCUGGUUGAUUUCAAGACCAAGAUGCAGGAAGUGUUUGAAAUGUCUGAUCUUGGGGAAAUGUCCUAUUUUCUUGGAAUGGAGGUGUCUCAAGCACAAAAUGAGAUAUUUCUAAGUCAGAGAAGCUUUGCCACAAAGAUUCUGACCAAGUUCUCCAUGCAAAACAACAAGGCAACUAAAACACCUGUUGCUGUUGGAGAAAAACUAUCGAGCCAAGGUGCUUUUGAGAAGGUAUGUGAAACAACCUACAGGAGUCUAGUUGGUUGUUUGCUAUACUUGACUGCCACUAGACCAGACAUCAUGUAUGCUGUAGGAUUGCUCUCAAGAUUCUUGCAUUGCUGCAAUGAGAAGCAUUUCCAAGCUGCAAAGAGAGUGUUGAGAUAUGUCAAGGGCACUUUGAACUAUGGUUUGAAGUACAGCAAAGAAGGAAAUUUGAAGCUGAUUGGGUACACAGAUAGUGACUGGGCUGGCUCAAUAGAUGACAUGAAAAGCACCUUAGGGUAUGCUUUUAACCUUGGUUCAGCCAUGUUUUGCUGGAGCUCGAAGAAGCAAAGCCUGGUGGCUCAAUCUACUGCUAAAGCAGAAUAUGUGGCAGCAGCAAGUGCUGUCAAUCAAGCUAUUUGGCUAAGGAAAGUCUUGGCCGAUUUGAAUUUGCAUCAAAAGGAAGCUACUGAGAUCUUCUGUGACAACCAAUCUGCUGUUGCAAUUGCUAAAAAUCUAGUGUUCCAUGGAAGAACAAAGCAUUUCAGCAUAAAGUUGCAUGUUGUUCGAGAAAUGGAGCAAGCACAAGAGGUGAAGCUGAUUCACUGCAAUUCAGAGGAUCAACUUGCUGACAUUCUGACUAAAGGUCUUAAUGUCACAAGGUUCGAGCAUUUAAGAGGAAAAUUAGGUGUUUGCACCAUACUAACCAAUCAGGAGUGAUGAAGUUGGUCAGUAUGCGGCAAACACUCAACAGCAAGCAGGCCAUGAAGACCAAGCAGUGCAGGAGCUGCUGCAACAAGUUAUUUUUGCUUAUUUUGUAAACUUUAGUUAAAGAAAUGAGUCUUAGUUCAUUUCUAACUAAGUUAAGUCUUUGAUUGAUGUAGUUAGCUUAUGUAUGAGCUGUAAACACAGCAUUGUAUAGGUUUACAAGCUAAAAUUCCAAGUUUCCAUGUAAUUAGUGGAGGUAGGUAAUGAUUAGGUGCUUACUUGCUGAUUUUGACAAGCUUUAUGCUUGUUUUAUGUAUUGGCUUGAUGCCAUUUUUUUUCUCAUGAAUGAAUUAAGUUUUGUUCAUCAAAUACUCUCCAUUUUUCUAAGCUUUUCUUCUUCUUUCUUUUGCUCGAUUUCAUUUGUUUGCUCAGCAAGCAUCAAAGCUUGUUGCACAAGACACUUGCCGAGUCUGUUAUUACUGUUAGUGCACCAACAAUAGCAUUUGUUGAUUAUCUCCUCAUUCAAUCUCAGCUUUUCACUACAAUAUUUCCACAGUGCUUCAAUGGGCGCCCCCUUUAAGCUUUGUUGCUCUGUGCAGCGAAUGAAUUCCAAGUGCUCUUUCUACACCACAGGAGAGUAAUUAAACACGAGUUGGAGAUGAGUACAAAUACUUAUGGCUGAUAGAAGUUACUGCAUCAGGCCAUAAAUGGAUGACACAACUAUGUAUAGUGUUUAAGUGACGUUCUUCUUCUCCAUGUUGCACAUUGUUGCAAAAACUAUAAUUAGUUAUAACACCGAAAAGAAAUUGAACUUCAUUAGUUAAUAAUGAUAAUAUAUACAUUAAAAUGAAGAAGGGUGUUGUAAACCUAGCAAUGGAUUUCAGCAUUGCCCCAAGGGACCAAUCUUAGAUUGAUAAUGCUAUGGAGGUCAGUGCGGAAGACCUUGAGUAGGCCAUUGGAGAUAAGCGAGAAUAUUGCAAGAGCAGCCAGAAUAUAGAAGAUUAAUGGUUGAAGAUAAGCCAUUGUUUCAGUGGUAGCUUUUGCACAAUGCUAAACCUCCAUUGUGCAAGGCUUCUUAUAGUUGAGAAUUGGGAUGAUGAGUAUUGCUUUCUGUCACUUUCAGAAACCAUGAGACAAAUUUACAAAGUUAUCAUCUUUAAAAAAAACAAUUAUUCACCACUUUAAAAAAAUUUAUUUACAUGAAAGAUUGCUUAUCUGUUUAUGUAUGAAUAUUGUCUAAACAUGAAAGGAGAAAUCUUAUUAGAUAAUAGAGUUUUAUAAUAAUUUAUAAUUUGAAUUAAGUUGGCCUUCUAAAAUGCUCUUAGACCAUUAUUAGUGAAUUAAAUAAAACUACUUGGCUCAUAUAAAUAAUUUGAACCAUCGUGCAGUGACACGAGACAAGAAUCUACUUAGUCUAAAUGAAUAUUAAUGGUAAAAAGCCAGUAUGUAAGUCCUUAUCAUAAUAAAGAUAAAAGAAAAUUACUUUGGCACCACCUCUCAUUAAUUCUUAAUAUUUGUGUGAAUGUUUAUUAAUCUUCACAAAGGAUGGACUUCUUUAAUUAUGAACAAUUCUAAGUGCUUGUCAAUUCUUAUUAUGAAGUCAUUCUUUAAUAUAAAUUAUAUAUUAGUCUUGAUAUGGCUUUUCUUUUCUGCAGUCAUCGUAUUAAGCGACUUCGAGGAAAACGAUGAUGGAAGAGAGUGAUGAUGAUAAUAAUCCACCACAAUCAAGUAUUGACUUGAAUAAUAUAAUUCAAUUUCAAUGACUUAAUUAAAUUAUACAAAUCUCAUAUUGCUAAACUGAAUUUUUGAGAUUCUCUAUAAGUCAUUAUACUUCAUUAAGUUAAUAAAAAUUAAGUUUAGACCUUGAACUUGUGGCCUACAAGGCUAAUGCAAUUUACAUCCAAGUCUUUUUGUUUUUAAAACUUCUUAACCUGUAAAAAUAUUUUAAUCGACUGAAGCUAUUUUCAGUUAAGUUCGUAUUAAUCUUUUUCAAACUAUUUUUAGCUAAUUCAAUCAACUUACCUUUGCUAUAUUUAACCAGUGAAAUUUUUAUAAAUACACCUUCAAAAUUACCAAUUUAUUCUUUACAUUCUCUUUCAAACACUCCUUGUUUACUCAAAAGCUUUCUUCUAUAAUUUUAGCCGAAUAUUUAUUUGGUUUGUUUUUCCUACUGAUUAAUAGAAUUGUUUGUUGAAUUAUGAAAUAUUUGUAAAGACAAUGAUAUUCACACCUCAAACAAUAAUUCUAAUAUUCUAAACCUCCUAUUUCUAACCAUUCCAAGGAUAAAAAUUAGAUAUAAAUGAUUUUCUCCUUUUAUUGUGUUGAAUUUAAUUACAGAACAAAUUUAAAGGAAAAUGAGUCGGGUGUUCAAAUUCUUUUAAUUUAUUUUAAGACUAAUCAUGUUUGAAGAGGCAUGAAUAUUUUUCCCAAAUUUCAAGAAUUUGAUUUGAAAAUUACAAUAAUUAGUUCGCAAAAAGGUAUGAAGUGAAUAAGAUAUAGAUAUAAUGACCCUAAUGUUUUUUUUUUCAUUUUUAUUAUAUAUUUUUAUUAUUUUCAAAUUUCAAAUUUUAAUCAAAUUGUUAUUUUUUUAUAAAAAAAUUAUCUAAAUUGUUAAAAUUUGAAUGAUGUUGAUGUUGUGACCUAGGUGAUACUCCACUUAUACUUCAACGUUGAUGCGAUUUUUUAAAAAAAAUUGAACUUUUAAUGUUUUAUGUAUUUUUUAUUUUUUUAUACAGUACAUGUAUAUUAUCAUAUAGGUUAUAACAUCAUUUUUUUUAUGAAAUACAUGUGUAUUAUCAUACCGUAUUCAACAGACUGUCAUUCAAGUGGCCAUCCGAGUUUCCUACUUUUCAUCAUAUGAUGAUCCCUACGAAAUUAGCCCUUUAACUGUUACUUUUUCAAUAAUUUCGCUUUCAAGAGAAAUAGUAUUGACAGACAUAUCUGUCACUUAGUUCAUCCUUUCUAGUACCUCUUACCGUCAAAGGGAUUCUAACUAACUCUUCUUUACCGAUUUGUCUGUAGCUUUUCUUUACAAAUCAAUCCUUCCCACACGACAAACCUUGUCUUCUUUAGUUAUGAACAAAUCUAAUUACUUGCAAACUCAAUGGGUCAUACUUUAUUACUAAAACAUUUCUAGCUCCUUUUUUUAUUAAGUCAUUCUUUAAUAUAAAUUAUAUAUGGCUUUUCUUUAUUCGAUUUCUUGUGGGAAAACGAUGAAGAAAUCAGCAACUCUAGUGGAAGAGAGUAAUGAUAGUAAUUCAUCAGUGUUGAAUUGAAUUUAAAUCAAUUAAUUAACUCAUAGGUAGAAUUCGAAUCUAAAGGUUUAAGAUUCAAAAAUCUUUUUCUUUUUAAUUAAAAAUUUUUAAAAUCUUAACUUAUUAUCAAUAAUGUCUAGAUUUUGUUUACAUGUUAAUUUUCCUAGAUCACAUUUUAAAUAAAUUGUUGAAAUCUUAAUAUUUUAAAUUUUUAAGAUAAUAAGAUUGGGUUUAAUAUAGCAUAGAAAUCUCUUCAUCUUUUAGAAUGUUACUUGGUCAGCUUUUGAAAUCGUCAAAGUUUCUCUUAGUUAGGCACAACAGUUUGAAUCGAGUCAGAGCAUUUAUAAGGCCAAUCUUCCAAAUUUAUGCUACCAAAAGCACACUGAAGGAAUGUGGGUUCAUCUUUUUUCCAAUGUUGCAGUGGAGCGAGCCAUUGGGAAUGCUUUUGCUGGAGGAGCGAUACGCGAUCAGAUCGGUAAUUGGAUAUUCGGAUAUAAUCGAUACAUGGGCAGCUAUACUCCUUUUGAGGCGGAACUCUAGGGUAUUUUAGAUGGGGUCCUCAUUCUGUUAAAUAAAGGAUACAAAUGGGUCACAAUUUAAAUAAACAAUUCAGAUGUGGUCCAUCACAGUUCUUGAAGGGUUCAAAGGGUUAUGCGUUUUGAAGGACAGUGGCAAAUAAGAGUUAUGUCUAAAGAAACAAACUUAAUUGCGGACCGAUUGACUAAGCUUUUUCCUUGCAUAGAAGUCAAGCUUACAAAUUUUCGAUGUACCUCCUAAUGAGGUAUUGGAGACUCUUCAACAAAAUAAAGCUUGUGGUGCUUUUGAACAAUUGAUUUGAUAUGAUUUUGUUUUACUUUCACCAAAAAAUACAAAUUAUAACAAAAAAAAAUAGUAUAGAUAUAUAAUCAUAAAUUUUAUAAAACAUAACUUCUCAAAGAGGCAUAGCACAUUAACUACAAAGGUAGCCUACUGGUGAUAAAAUCUUCCAGUUAAACAGAUGAACUCCAAAUUUAUCAUAUGACAAUAAAUGAAAAAGAAAGGUGGAACAAGCCAAAACAAGCAGAUCUUUUAAGCAAAAAGAGCACAAACAAACAAACAAACAAAAAUUCCUUCUUUUCUUAUGUUUAGUCGUGUCGUCUUUGUAAGGAAUAAAAAGGUGGCAAGAUGUCUUUAUUCCCAGGCUCGUAAACUCGCUCCUAGUUCUUCUUCCAUUUUCGUCCAUCAGGUAAGUGAUAAAGUACAAUUUUACUUUUACUGAUUUAAAAUUUUUGAACAACCUAAAUGAAUAAUUUUUUAUUUUAAAGGGGAGCUGGGCCCUGCUAGUCUCCCCUAAUUACACCACUGAAGGUGGACUUGUGCGAUGAGCCGAAAGGUUAGCCUAAUAUAGCUUCGAGUUUUUUAUUUUUUUGAAAUUAUUUUUUACUAAAUUUUUUAGAAUUUAUGAAAAGUUGCCUUGUUAACCUACAUCAACUAUACUUAGUCAAACUAAAAAUAACUAAACCACUUAAAGCCAUUUUUAAUUACGUCUGAAUUCAUUGAAUCAUUUUUAAAUUAUAUUUAAUUAGUUCAAUCAACUUACCUUUUCAAAUUAUAAUACUAGGAAUGUUCCAUCUCAUGUUGUGGCAUCUCAAAAAAUAGCAUCUCCACAGCCAUGAGACAAGAAUCUACUUAAUCUAAAUGUUGAAUUAAUUUAUUUUGGUUAAACGUCGAUCAAUGGGGCUGACGUUUGGCCCCCUUUUGGUUCAGCUUUUAGGUACAAACUAAAUAAAUAAGAAAGACUAAAAAAGAUAAAGAACAAAUUUCUUGGAGCUUUCCUCUGACAAAUAUUUUAAUUAUGAAUGGCAUUCUAUUGUGCUAAUUACAGUUUAAUUUCGGUCCUUAAAAAAAGUUUUUUUUUUAAUUUCCUCUUUGUGAAAUUCCUUGGACAAGUAUUUUCAUAUGAAUGGCAUUAUAGUCCUUUUAUUCUAUUGUGCUAAUCACUUGGUUUCUUUGGGUUAUGGGAUUAUAAACCUUUCGUCUUCAUUAAUUAUAAACAAUUCUAAGUGCUUGCCUAUUAUUAUUAUGAAGUCAUUCUUUAAUAUAAGUUAGAUAUUAGUCUUGUUGGUUCUCAAUUGUUGAAGGGUUCAAUAUCAUUUCUACUCUCCUUUUCUGCUGUCAUCAUAUCAAGCGAUUUCCCAGGGAAAACGAUGAAGAAAUAGUGGAUAAUUGAUGAAAGAGAGUAAUGAUAAUAAUUCAUCAUAAUCAAAUCUUUACGACUAUUGAAUUGAAUAAUAUAAUUAAAUUUAAAUCAAUUAAUUAAUUCACACAUUUAUUUUAUAAAGUAGAACUUAGAACUUUAAUGUUCAAUAUUCGAAAUUAUUUUAAUAAAUCUUUUCUAAAAUCUUAACCUCAAGAUUUUAUUGACAUUUCAAUUGUCAAUUGUAACCUUAAUGCUUAUGCAUUUUAAAAAUUAUACAAAUCUCACAUUGUUAAAGAAAGAUUUUGAAAUUCUUGUUUAUAAGCAGGAAAAAUUAAGUUUAGACGGUCUUGUGACUUGUGCAUUGAGCCACCAAGCCGAUGCAAUUUACAUCCAUAGUCUUUUUGUUUUUCAAAUUAUUUUUUUACUCAAUUUUUGAGAGUUAAAAGAGAAGUUAACUUCUUAACUUGUAAGAUCUAUAUUUAGUCAAAUUAAAACUAACUUAAUCAAUUAAAGUUAUUUUUAGUUAAAUACAGAUUCAUUUUGAAGAUCAACAGAGAUUGGUGUUUGAGUGAAACAUGGAUGACAAGGGGAGAAUAGAGCAAUAGGAGAAAUAAUGAUAUUGACUUGUUGUAGAUUGUAUUGGAACAGCUAGUACCAUAAUUAGGGGACCCAAAAAAUUUUAAAUUUUGAGUUAAUUGAAUCAAGUUAUUCAGUUUUUUUAGCCAACUCGAAUAAGUAAUUUGAGUUUUGAGUUCGAGUCGAGUUAUAUUUUACAAUUUGAAUAAUAGAUUGGUGUAAAUACACCUUUACUCCCUGUCAAUUUUAAAAAUAAGCAAAAUGAUUUCUCUCAAAAAAAAAAAAAUCAAACUUGUUUAAAGUAUUGUGAUAAGGGGAGUAGUUUCACAUGGAUGAACACACAUUUUCAUUCUGUUAUAGACCGAAGAAACCUGAAGAAGAUCAUGUGGCACUUGAUACUAGCAUACUUGUUACCACAACUAGUUUAGAUUUUGUGAAAAAGAGGGAGCACUGUGUGCUAUUGCUAUUGCAAUUCUACUGUUGCAAUUUUGCUACUACAAUUUAGGGAGACUUAUUUUUAUCAACAAAAAUGUGACAAGGUUAUCUCGAUUUAAAAAUGCUUUAUUCUCAUAAAAACGUAAGUAUGAACAAACAUAAAAUAUAUUAAUCGAUCAUGAUUGUCCACACAUGAAAGGAGAAAUCUUAGUACAUAAUAUUUUUUACUUGUUAUCUUAUUACAUAAUAAAGUUGUAAAGAAUUUAAACUAUAGUAAUUUAUAAUUUAAAUUAAAUUAAUAAAUUAUAAUUUAUUAAAGUAUUUACUGAAUCAUUAGCCUUCUAAAAUUUUCUUUGACCAUUAUUAGUGAAUUAAAUAAACCUAAUUGACUCAUAUAAAUAAUUUGAACCAUCGUGCACUGCCAUGAGACAUGAAUUACUUUCUAGUUAGUCUAAAUGUUGUAUUAAUUUCUUUUAACUUUUGGUUGAGCUUUCGGGUACAAACUAAAUAAAUAAGAAAGACUACAAAAAUAUAAAGAGAUGUCCUCUUUGCAGUGGCGUAGGUUGGGGUUAGCAAGGCACGGCUCUCUUAAAAUAGAAAAUUCCUAUUACAUCUUACACAUUUAUGUUCUCCCUCUCCAUCCAUCUUCAUAUUCAAUAUUCAUUUCAUGCAUAUCCUUCUUCAUAUUCAGUAUUCAUUUGAUGCAUUUCUCGUUGGUUGACAUAUUACAUAUUUCUCAACUUCUUGUAUUCCAUUGAUACGAACCAGGCUCUCUAAAUAAGAAUGAAGGGAGAUGGCGAAACGAAGAUGAUCUAGAUCAGUAUUAAUCUCAAGCUUCUUAAGCUCUUGGGUGGAGGCGUCAAAUAGGAGUACUUCAUCAUUUGUGUCUCUAAGAAACAAGUCACUAUUUUUUCCAAAUCCCAUUAAUGGGUGUACAACUCCAGAAAUGGAUUUAAUAUUGAAUUGUUUAGUCCACACUCCUUCACUUGUAACCCAUAAAUCACAAGACGUGUCAAUUCUUUCCGUUGGGUAAACAAUAGCACCAAGUGAUCCAUUAAACACCAAUAGAUCAACAUAGUAUUCUGGGAAAGACCCAACGAAUUCUGGGAUAGGUAAAACUGAGAACUUGUCAUUCCUCAUGUCAAAUGAAAGAAUUAGUCCUCUAAAAUCAAGAUAUGCCCCUGUCUCUGUUUUCCAAUAGCAAAUUCCGUCUACAUAAUUAUUUCCCAAAGUUUUUCCAUUUGGAUUAUAAUCAGGAUAUGGAAUUUCCUUCCAGGAAUUACUUCUAAGAGAAUACAACUCAACUUGGUAUAUAAAAUCAGGAUGUGCAUAUUCUUCUUCACUAUUAACAAAAGUAAGAGUAACGAAUCGUAUGAAUUUGUAGUCAUCAGUUUUAGAAUCAAAGCCAAAAGCAGCGUGGUCAAAAGAAACGCCGUCUAAAGUAAGGUAGGUUUCUUCGAAUGGGGAAAAAUAUGGAGGGCGUUGGAUUGAAGAUGGUGGAAGGAUUUUAAACUCUCUAUUUGAUGGGUUCCAAAUGGCAGCCUUAUCCUUUGAAGGAUCAAAUAAACACAAUAAUCCAUGACAAGCACC